AGAGUUUGAUCCUGGCUCAGAACGAACGUUGAUGGCGUGCCUCAUACAUGCAAGUCGAGCGCCCCGCAAGGGGAGCGGCGGACGGGUUAGUAACACGUAAAGAAUCUGCCCUGAAGCGGGGAAUAACUAUCCCAACGGAUAGCUAAUACCGCAUAAUGGUGGAGGAGGCAUCUCCUCUUCUCAAAAGGCUUCGGCCACUUCAGGAUGACUUUGCGUCCCAUUAGCUUGUUGGCGGGGUAACGGCCCACCAAGGCUACGAUGGGUAUCCGGCCUGAGAGGGUGUACGGACACAUUGGGACUGAGAUACGGCCCAGACUCCUACGGGAGGCAGCAGUAGGGAAUUUUGCGCAAUGGGGGAAACCCUGACGCAGCAAUGCCAUGUGUGGGAUGAAGCAUUUCGGUGUGUAAACCACUGUCAGCGGGGAAUAAACGGCAGCUUCGGGCUGCUUUGAAUGUACCCGCAAAGGAAGCCCCGGCUAACUUCGUGCCAGCAGCCGCGGUAAUACGAGGGGGGCAAAUGUUAUUCGGAAUCACUGGGCGUAAAGGGAGCGUAGGCGGGGUCUUAAGUAAAGUGUUUAAUCCCGGGGCCCAACCCCGGACCGGCAUUUUAAACUGGGACUCUUGAAUAGUGGAGAGGUCGGUGGAAUUGGGGGUGUAGCGGUGGAAUGCGUAGAGAUCCCCAAGAACACCAGUUGCGAAGGCGGCCGACUGGACACAUAUUGACGCUGAGGCUCGAAAGCAUGGGGAGCAAACAGGAUUAGAUACCCUGGUAGUCCAUGCCAUAAACGAUGGAUACUAGGUUUUGGGCCCGUCAACGGUCCAGAGCCGCAGCUAACGCGUUAAGUAUUCCGCCUGGGGAGUACGGUCGCAAGACUGAAACUCAAAGGAAUUGACGGGGGCCCGCACAAGCGGUGGAGCAUGUGGUUUAAUUCGACGCAACGCGAAGAACCUUACCAAGGCUUGACAUGGGACAGACUGUACGAGAGAUCGUGCUUCUCUAGCAAUAGAGCUGUCCACACAGGUGCUGCAUGGCUGUCGUCAGCUCGUGUCGUGAGAUGUUGGGUUAAGUCCCGCAACGAGCGCAACCCCCGUUUCUAGUUGCCAUCAUUCAGUUGGGCCCUCUAGAGAGACUGCCGCGAAUAACGCGGAGGAAGGUGGGGACGACGUCAAGUCAUCAUGGCCCUUACGUCUUGGGCUACACACGUGCUACAAUGG
Molecule: ribosomal RNA, 1215 nt
Filed under: metagenome
Description: bacterial SSU rRNA
Rfam family: Bacterial small subunit ribosomal RNA
Source: RNAcentral